GUCAGGAUGGCCGAGCGGUCUAAGGCGCUGCGUUCAGGUCGCAGUCCACUUCUUUGGCGUGGUUCGAAUCCCACUUCUGACA
This 82-nucleotide transfer RNA is filed under the name Trichonephila clavata. It matches the Rfam family "tRNA". Rfam says of the family: Transfer RNA (tRNA) molecules are approximately 80 nucleotides in length. Their secondary structure includes four short double-helical elements and three loops (D, anti-codon, and T loops). Further hydrogen bonds mediate the characteristic L-shaped molecular structure. tRNAs have two regions of fundamental functional importance: the anti-codon, which is responsible for specific mRNA codon recognition, and the 3' end, to which the tRNAs corresponding amino acid is attached (by aminoacyl-tRNA synthetases). tRNAs cope with the degeneracy of the genetic code in two manners: having more than one tRNA (with a specific anti-codon) for a particular amino acid; and 'wobble' base-pairing, i.e. permitting non-standard base-pairing at the 3rd anti-codon position. The record is from Rfam by way of RNAcentral. Lineage: Eukaryota; Metazoa; Arthropoda; Arachnida; Araneae; Nephilidae.